This 468-nucleotide ribosomal RNA is filed under the name uncultured bacterium. Its description in RNAcentral is "partial 16S ribosomal RNA". It matches the Rfam family "Bacterial small subunit ribosomal RNA", at positions 28 to 507 of the family's 1533-position model. The record is from RNAcentral.
GACGAACGCUGGCGGCGUGCUUAACACAUGCAAGUCGAACGGAAAGGCCCUGCUUUUGUGGGGUGCUCGAGUGGCGAACGGGUGAGUAACACGUGAGUAACCUGCCCUUGACUUUGGGAUAACUUCAGGAAACUGGGGCUAAUACCGGAUAGGAGCUCCUGCUGCAUGGUGGGGGUUGGAAAGUUUCGGCGGUUGGGGAUGGACUCGCGGCUUAUCAGCUUGUUGGUGGGGUAGUGGCUUACCAAGGCUUUGACGGGUAGCCGGCCUGAGAGGGUGACCGGCCACAUUGGGCCUGAGAGACGGACCAGACUCGUACGGGAGGCAGUAGUGGGAAAUAUGGCGGAAUAGGCGGAAGCGUGUUGCAGCAGCGCCGCGUGCGUGAUGACGGCCUUCGGGUUGUGAACCGCUUUCGCAUGUAACGAAGCGUGAGUGACGGUAAUGGGUAAAGAAGCACCGGCUAACUACGUG